AGAUUGAACGCUGGCGGCAGGCCUAACACAUGCAAGUCGAGCGGCAGCGGGAAAGUAGCUUGCUACUUUUGCCGGCGAGCGGCGGACGGGUGAGUAAUGCCUGGGAAAUUGCCCAGUCGAGGGGGAUAACAGUUGGAAACGACUGCUAAUACCGCAUACGCCCUACGGGGGAAAGCAGGGGACCUUCGGGCCUUGCGCGAUUGGAUAUGCCCAGGUGGGAUUAGCUAGUUGGUGAGGUAAUGGCUCACCAAGGCGACGAUCCCUAGCUGGUCUGAGAGGAUGAUCAGCCACACUGGAACUGAGACACGGUCCAGACUCCUACGGGAGGCAGCAGUGGGGAAUAUUGCACAAUGGGGGAAACCCUGAUGCAGCCAUGCCGCGUGUGUGAAGAAGGCCUUCGGGUUGUAAAGCACUUUCAGCGAGGAGGAAAGGUCAGUAGCUAAUAUCUGCUGACUGUGACGUACUCGCAGAAGAAGCACC
RNAcentral lists this ribosomal RNA (480 nucleotides) under Aeromonas hydrophila. RNAcentral's name for it is "bacterial SSU rRNA". It matches the Rfam family "Bacterial small subunit ribosomal RNA", at positions 26 to 494 of the family's 1533-position model. Lineage: Bacteria; Pseudomonadati; Pseudomonadota; Gammaproteobacteria; Aeromonadales; Aeromonadaceae. The record is from RNAcentral.